GACGGAGGGGGCUAGCGUUGUUCGGAAUUACUGGGCGUAAAGAGCACGUAGGCGGCGGUGCAAGUUGGGGGUGAAAUCCCGGGGCUCAACCCCGGAACUGCCUUUAAUACUGGGUAUCUCGAGUUCGAGAGAGGUGAGUGGAAUUCCGAGUGUAGAGAUGAAAUGCGUAGAUAUUCGGAGGAACACCAGCGGCGAAGGCGGCUCACUGGCUCGAUACUGACGCUGAGGUGCGAAAGCGUGGGGAGCAAACAGG
This 253-nucleotide ribosomal RNA is filed under the name uncultured bacterium. RNAcentral's name for it is "partial 16S ribosomal RNA". It matches the Rfam family "Bacterial small subunit ribosomal RNA", at positions 524 to 776 of the family's 1533-position model. The record is from RNAcentral.